CACGAAGUUAGCCGGUGCUUAUUCUUCCGGUACCGUCAUCACCCCCGGGUAUUAACCGAAGGCUUUUCUUUCCGGACAAAAGAGCUUUACAACCCGAAGGCCUUCUUCACUCACGCGGCAUGGCUGGAUCAGGCUUGCGCCCAUUGUCCAAUAUUCCCCA
Molecule: ribosomal RNA, 160 nt
Filed under: uncultured bacterium
Lineage: Bacteria
Description: partial 16S ribosomal RNA
Source: RNAcentral